AAAAACAAGAAGAAGAGAGUUAGAGCGAAAAUUUGGCGAGAAGCGGGAAAGGGUAAUUACUAAUGAUCGCAGAGGAUCGUUAUUAACCUUUCUGGUGGCGAGAGGCAUCAGGACGUAGCAGGACCAUUGUCCAUUCCGCUAGGUUCAUUACGGUGUUCCAGUAGGGAAUGAGGCGAUGGUCGGCUGGAUGAUGUAAAAAAGGGUAAAAGAGAAAUAAGAAAAGUGUCGGGGGUCAGAGGAGACCGAACGGCUACCGUGAAUGGCGCAGCCUGACCCAAGAGCUGCCGGGCAUCAAAAGGGCCUCAAAAGGACCGCUUCGAACCUCGGCCUGUCCGAAGCUCAUUUGUUUUCACCGGCGCAUGGAAAGAUCGAUCGACCGAUGUCUUAACCCUACACUCUCCACGGAAUCAUCCGCUUUCGAUAAGAAAAAUUCUGAGGCAUUAAUUAGAUCGGCCGGUAAUAGAGUCAUGAUGGAAAACUGAUUGCCUGCGUCGAAGUUAUGGCAAUUUACUUACCUAUCAACUAUCUUCUCUGCAUUUCCUUCCAUUUUCUCCUUGGUAAUAUUUAACAUAGUUUUAUUAGCUCAUUUUUCUCAAAGGUUCAUUAUUUUUUUAUUUAUCACGUUAAGCUAGAUUAACUAUCUCUUAUAACAUUUUCAAUAUGACAUCCACAAUCAUGUAAGUCUUUGAUAUUUGUUAUAAAAUGGUGAAAAAUACGAUGAAAUUCAGAAUUGUUGUACAUACUGGUGACAGGAUCUCUAUAUAUAGAAUAGAAAAUUCCCAUGAGGUUUCUUGCGAUCGUCUUUCUUCUUCUUGAUAUCGAUUCGAUGGAUGAUCGUUAAUUUGAAUGGACGAAAUGAUCGGUAACAUUAGACUAGAUAAUUCGAUGAGCAAAACAAAAAGAAUAUAAAUUUAUAUUCUCCAUCGAAUCAUUGUAUCUUACGUUCUCACGGCAAAAACAUGGUAGAUUAUCUUACGUGAUUGGAGUGGAUGAAAAUUCCACGUAGACGGACGUGCGGGGUGGAAGUGUUGGGAAUUUUAGAAAAAUCGGAUGAGGAAGAGGUUACACGAGGGGAUACUAGGAUUGCAUUUACAAGGGGGAUUUGUACGGUAGUCGAGAAACGAAGUGAAAUUAUCGAUGCGAUUGCCACUGGAACAGACUCUCGGUUGAAGGGCCGACAAAGGGUCGAUCAGUGAUUCUCUCCAUCUCCUUUCAUCUCGUUCCUUUUUCGAAAGAUAACCCCACGGUGGCCACCUUUUUGUUUGCACAGUAAGAUUGCUUGCCUCUUGCUCGGAAAUUGACCGAAGAUUACGGCCGACCGACGUUUGCUCUGCGGCCACGGCCUUAACUUUGCGCUACCACAAAAAUAUCAUUGGCUUCCUCCUUUUCCCUUCCAACUUCUUUGUCUUCUUCUUUCUAUUAUUUUUUUCCUUCAGGUAUUGAUUUCUUUCAUGUUUUAUACAUAUAUGAAAAACCAAUCGAUCUUUUACCUUUUUUCUCACUCAAAAACUUGAAAUUUUAAAAUUCAAAUUACAAAUUAAUUUCCUUUAAAUAAAUGGUACGUAACAAGUUAUGAAAAAAUUAUUCUUAUAAUCUAUUAUUGUGUUGCAACGAAAAUUACAGUACACAAAUGUAAUAUUUCAUAUAUUCUAUACAUUAGUUGUAUAGAUAUUUAAACGUAUAUAGUUGCAUAAAAAAUUGCAAUCCAAUCAUUAUUCUUCAAAUUUUUUCCCAAAACGUAUCGACAUCUAUAAAAUCGUUCUUUUUAUUCUUGAUUUACAAAUAAAGUAAAGUAUCAUCUAUCGUUCGUCUGAGAAAUUAUACGACAAACAUUUUAACUGCGACGUAACCACAAAACUUCUCUUUCCCCGGUCAUACACUUCCCUUUCCUCCUUAUCCCGAAGAGAGAUGAUGUCUAAGCUUAUUAUCGAGACCCUCGAGACCUCUCUUUCUCUCCAUCUUGCAGGAUUUGAUCGAAGUUGAUGGAGCGAGCACGGAGCUAACCGCCCAGAGUAUUAUGUGUCGAAAAAUAUUCAAGAAAACCUCUUCGGCCAGUCCUUCGGAGGAGCAAUGACUUUUGUCCGCCACGAUACUGUCAGAAGUGAUUACCCGUAAUGGAUCAAGCUCUUUAAUGCUCUACCCACGUGCGCUAGAAGAAUUAUCCGUCCGAGAGGCAGCUAGAGCUUGUUUAAAGGGCGUUGUACGCCCGUUAUACGACGCGGUAACAAGCGCGAUUUCAGCUCACGGUGUACAAUUAAAAGUAACACGGCUCGAUGCGCGUUAACGCGAGCGAGUCGAAUCGUUUGAUCCUCCGUAGAAAAAUUGCGCGCUCUAUUCCGAGAGAAAGAGAAAGAUUUAUGACAUACGGUUCUAAAGAUCGUAAAUCAUUUGGUAUAUCGUAAACAGCCAAUAAGCCGAGAUCAAAGAGACAUUAAACUCUGGUCGAAGUUGGAGAAGUGGGGUUAGAACCGGUUAAUCGUUGAUAGAGGAGUGAUUAUUAAAUAGAAAAGAAAAAAAAAACAAGAAAAAAAAAAGAACAGAUUAUUCUUCUCCUAGAGAAAGCUAAUUAUGAGAGGCAUUAAUUAAGCACUAACGACGAAGGAUUAUUAACGAACAAAUCGGUUCUCCUUACAUGGGGACAAGGUUUUGAUCGACGAGCCACGAGUUUAGCCGAGGGCAACUUACGACGGCCAAUCGAUCUAUCGAUUGAGAUCGAUCGAAUUACCGGUAUGCACGAUCCUUUCCUCGUAUCGAUAUAUAUAUGUAUAUAUAUAUAUAUAUAUAUAUAUAUAUAUAUGUGUGUAUAUGUAAGGAUCGAUUGCAGAAUGAAAGAUUGUGAACUAAUACGGGUGACAGAAGGGAGUGUACAGACGCACGGGAAAGACGCGAUUGAAUUACCAUAAAACGCCAUGAUUAACGUAAAGUAAACGAAUAUAAUGCCGCAAUGACCGCAACCUGUUCUAUAGCAGUUAGAGUAUGUCCCCGCAAUGGUUUCCUGUAUCUCUACGUCCGACGCGAUGUCUUUCAUUUCUCUUUUAUCGUAUCGUUCUCUGUGAAAUUAUAAUUUCGUGUACGAAUAGAUUUAAAUUUAAUUGGUAGUGGAAUUUCAAGAUUAUCAUCUAUGAUGAGAAGUACGAUAAGACUUUAAAACUUCGCACGGUCAUUCAAUUAUUGGGUUCGUGUGUAAUAGGUUAGGUAAUAUGAACACUGUGAAUGCAGAAAUAAAUCAAUUUACAUAA
Apis dorsata (giant honeybee) is the source of this 3239-nucleotide long non-coding RNA. RefSeq lists it as uncharacterized. The record is from RefSeq and is a predicted model, not a curated record. NCBI's taxonomy places the organism in Eukaryota, Metazoa, Arthropoda, Insecta, Hymenoptera, Apidae. The transcript has 3 exons.